Molecule: long non-coding RNA, 2197 nt
Filed under: Citrus x clementina
Lineage: Eukaryota; Viridiplantae; Streptophyta; Magnoliopsida; Sapindales; Rutaceae
Description: Citrus clementina (C. clementina) long non-coding RNA (CCLE_LNC006414)
Source: RNAcentral
GAUAAUAGAACGCACAUGCUUAUUGCAUAUGUGGGAACCGAUAGCCCCAAAAAUCGACAGUCUACUUCAAAGUAAAAUAAAGGGUUUUCUCCCAACCGACAUACAGUAUUUAACAAGCUAGGCUUGAGCAUCGACAGUCUACUUCAAAGUAGAAUAAAGGGUUUUCUCCCAACCAACAUACAGUAUUUAACAAGCUAGGCUUGAGCAUAGUAAUAAAAAGGAGAAUGCAUUGGUUUCAAUUACAACGUUAAAUACAACAGAACUUUCAUCAUUCCUCCAUAACAUGUUAAACAGGCUAACUGAAGAACUAACACAAGUAAUUUAUUCAAGGCCGGGUUGAAUAAACUACCACAGCUAUAUCAAAUCAAUUUUUAUUUGCAGCGGCCAAAUGUUUACCCAAAGAAAGGCCUAAUACGAAACGAUCAAUUCAAAAAAUAAGCAUAUAAGGAGAUUAAAAUCCAAAACCUGAUAGCUACUAACAAAAAUGUGAGCAACAUUCCAAGCAGUGAGAAGGUCAAAACUUAAGAAUUGGCAACCAGAUCCUCGGGAGCAUACUCGUUUGGAAUUCCUUCACUGAGGAUUUUUGCUGCUUCCUCAGCAGUUUCCUGGGUAUCUGCACUUCCUUGCUCAAUUUGUUUCUGUUUUGAUGAGUAAAAAAAAAAUGAAGAAAAAAUUUACCAAAGCCUCAGUCGUACAUAAAUUUCACAAUGUUCUCUUGAACCUUAUUAAUACUCAUCAAAACUGUUUCCUCGACGGUAACGUAGCUCCAAAGAAACCUGUCGUUCAUAUAAAAGCUGGCGACGAAAAUUAGUGAUAAAAAUCUCUGCCCUGCGAUCAAUAUCAUCGUCACCAUCAUAAGCACAACUUUUUGUUCUUUGAAGUACCCGAACUGAGCUACCCUCAUCAGGGUCUCGAUCAACAAUGCAAUAUUGCAAGCCUAAUCGAUCGUUAAAACUCAAUGAACGCCGGCUCUGAGAAAAACCAGCACGGCAUAUUGAAGCUAAGUUCCAUUUGCUUAGCUUUAUACGGCUUAAAAUCAUGUGUAAUUUCUUCACUGCUUUCUUUAGGUGGCCUUGCAUGAGUGACCGGCUUUGAUGCUUACCCAUUUGUUUGUUCAAGUGCAGACUUGUAAUGAUAUUUGAUGCUGAAACAGAGCUGUGGUUUGGUACUUAUAAGCAAGAGAGGGCGAGUGAGUGAGAAAAUUCUCGGACAAGAUACAGUACUUCGAGCUAGCAAGAAAGCGCGUUAGAAGUCGGAAAUGAUUUGGGAGUUAUAAACUGACAGCUAGUUACGUUAGUGUUUCAUCGAAGGGAAUUGCUAAAAUGACAAAAGUUGUCGUUUAUGUGCUUGUGAUACAAGCCAGACGGUCAAAGCUUUUGGCAAGGUUUCUAGCAAAACCCUCGGGUGAUUCGUCUGGUUUUGUAUACAUGGUCACAGCUUGUUAGAUUAGUAGCUUUGAUUGAAAUUCUUGCUGACCAAGUUUUGAUAGGUGCAACUGAACAGAAUUAUAAUUUGCCAUCGACUAUGAUUACAAAUAACAAGUGUAACGAUAAUAGAACGCACAUGCUUAUUGCAUAUGUGGGAACCGAUAGCCCCAAAAAUCGACAGUCUACUUCAAAGUAAAAUAAAGGGUUUUUUCCCAACCGACAUACAAUAUUUAACAAGCUAGGCUUGAGCAUCGACAGUCUACUUCAAAGUAGAAUAAAGGGUUUUCUCCCAACCAACAUACAGUAUUUAACAAGCUAGGCUUGAGCAUAGUAAUAAAAAGGAGAAUGCAUUGGUUUCAAUUACAACGUUAAAUACAACAGAACUUUCAUCAUUCCUCCAUAACAUGUUAAACAGGCUAACUGAAGAACUAACACAAGUAAUUUAUUCAAGGCCGGGUUGAAUAAACUACCACAGCUAUAUCAAAUCAAUUUUUAUGGGCAGCAGCCAAAUGUUUACCCAAAGAAAGGCCUAAUACGAAACGAUCAAUUCAAAAAAUAAGCAUAUAAGAAGAUUAAAAUCCAAAACCUGAUAGCUACUAACAAAAAUGUGAGCAACAUUCCAAGCAGUGAGAAGGUCAAAACUUAAGAAUUGGCAACCAGAUCCUCGGGAGCAUACUCGUUUGGAAUUCCUUCACUGAGGAUUUUUGCUGCUUCCUCAGCAGUUUCCUGGGUAUCUGCACUUCCUUGCUCAAUUUGUUUCUGUUUGCUUG